This 397-nucleotide ribosomal RNA is filed under the name uncultured bacterium. RNAcentral describes it as "partial 16S ribosomal RNA". It matches the Rfam family "Bacterial small subunit ribosomal RNA", at positions 523 to 918 of the family's 1533-position model. The record is from RNAcentral.
AUACGUAGGGGGCGAGCGUUGUCCGGAAUGAUUGGGCGUAAAGGGCGCGUAGGCGGCCCGGUAAGUCUGGAGUGAAAGUCCUGUUUUUAAGAUGGGAAUUGCUUUGGAUACUGUCGGGCUUGAGUGCAGGAGAGGUAAGUGGAAUUCCCAGUGUAGCGGUGAAAUGCGUAGAGAUUGGGAGGAACACCAGUGGCGAAGGCGACUUACUGGACUGUAACUGACGCUGAGGCGCGAAAGUGUGGGGAGCAAACAGGAUUAGAUACCCUGGUAGUCCACACUGUAAACGAUGAAUGCUAGGUGUAGGGGGUACCGACCCCUUCUGUGCCGCAGUCAACACAAUAAGCAUUCCGCCUGGGGAGUACGGCCGCAAGGUUGAAACUUAAAGGAAUUGACGGGG